UUUUCUUUUUUCUUUUUUUUUCUUUUUUUUUGAAAGAUAAGUAAGGCGCUACCCACUUCGUUUAUUUUAUUUAGGAAUAAUCUUAGCUAAAAAUAUGAAUCAACUAGAAUUCGAAUUUGGGUCUCAGGUACCAACCACCAAACCCUUUGCCACUUGCUUUAGGGACGGUCGGUCUUCCUGUUGCUUUUCAAGAGAAAGUUUUUUUGAAUUAUUAUUGAAAAAACUUCAAAAACCGCUCAUAUGGUUUCACAGUUUCUCACUUUAGUACUAUGUGGGUUAAAGUGUAUCAAUUUAGUAUCAUAUAGUUUUAUUUUUUUCUUUUUAUUAUCGAUUCUACUAAUACUUUUCGUUAAAUCAAUGAGAAAGUUAAAAUUGAAGUGUACUAAAGUGAAUAUUUGAUAAACCUAGGUGUAGUAUUUAAAAUUUUUUAUAUAUAAUUUAACGAAAUAUUAACAGAAAAACUGACGAAAAGUAAAAAUAAAACUACAGGACAUUAACUUGAUACACUUUAAACCAAGUAUUAAAGUGAGAAAGUAUGAAACCAAAAAAAUGAUAUAUGAAGUUUACCCAUUAUUAUUAUUUUUAUUAUUACUAUUAUUAUUUCCAAAAAUCAAAACAGA
Molecule: long non-coding RNA, 620 nt
Filed under: Ananas comosus (pineapple)
Lineage: Eukaryota; Viridiplantae; Streptophyta; Magnoliopsida; Poales; Bromeliaceae
Description: long non-coding RNA (ACOM_LNC010578)
Source: RNAcentral